UUCCUUUUUUCUUCCUUCACCUUGAACCAACAGUGGUCUUUUUAUAGCUCAGUCCUCCGGACGCCAUCCGUUAGGAUAAAGAUCAGCAUCGUUGCAACGGCUCGAUACUUAUCUCUAAUUUCCAGGAAUAGUUCCGUUCGAAGGUGCAUAUCUAGUUGAUGCGUAACUUAAGCUGGCCUGGCUAGAUAUCUGCGUGCUUUUCUCUCUCGCUAGUAUAUUCUAGUAUAUUCUGGCCGGUAGAUAACUUAAACUGAUGUUUAGUUGAAGUAUAUCUCGCUAG
This 280-nucleotide long non-coding RNA is filed under the name Brachypodium distachyon (stiff brome). Its description in RNAcentral is "long non-coding RNA (BDIS_LNC001949)". Lineage: Eukaryota; Viridiplantae; Streptophyta; Magnoliopsida; Poales; Poaceae. The record is from RNAcentral.